CUCAAAAGGGGCUCUAAAUGUGUCUCAAAAUGGGCCUCAAAUGUGGCCCAAAAUGUCCCCAAAGUGUCCCCAAAUGUGGCCCAAAAUGGCUCCAAAAUAGUCCCAAAAUGGCUCCCACAAAAUGGCCGCCAUUGUGCCACAAAAUGGCCUCCUGAGUCACCAAAAUUUCCCCAAAAUGGCCCCAAAUGUGACCCCAAAUGUGUCCCAAAAUGUCCCCACAAGUGUCUGUAAGAGUGUCCCCAAAUGGCCCCAAAAUGGAGAAAAAGGGGCUCAAAAUGGCUGCCAAUGUCCUGCGGGGUCAUCAAAUAUCCACCACAAAAUGGCCGCCAGUGUGCCCCAAAAUGGCCCUAAAAUGGGCCAAAAAUGUGUCCCCAAAUAUGUCCCCAAAUGUCCUCAAUGUCCCAAACACCCCCAAUGUCUUCAAUGUCCUCAGUGUCCCCAAUGUUCUCAAGGAUCCCAGAUGUCUCCAACAUCUCCAAUGUCCCCAAAUCCCCCAAUGUCCCCAAUGUCCCCAAUCUUCUCAGUGUCCCCAAUGUCCCCAAUGUUCUCAAAAUUCUCAGAUGUCCCCAACAUCUCCAAUGUCACCAAUGUCCCCAACACCCCCAAUGUCUUCAAUGUCCCCAAUCUUCUCAGUGUCCCCAAUGUCCCCAAUGUUCUCAAAGUUCUCAGAUGUCCCCAAUGCCCCCAAUGUCCUCAGUGUCCCCAAUGUCCCCAAUGUUCUCAGUGUCCUCAAUGUUCUCAAGGAUCCCAGAUGUCUCCAACAUCUCCAAUGUCCCCCAUGUCCCAAUGUCCCCAAUGCCCCCAAUGUCCUCAGUGUCCCCAAUGUCCCCAAUGUCCCAAAUCUUCUCAGUGUCCCCAAUGUCCCCAAUGUUCUCAAAGCUCUCAGAUGUCUCCAAUGCCCCCAAUGUCCCCAAUCUUCUCAGUGUCCCCAGUGUCCCCAAUGUUCUCAAGGAUCCCAGAUGUCCCCAAUGUCCCCAAUCUUCUCAGUGUCCCCAAUGUCCCCAAUGUUCUCAAAGUUCUCAGAUGUCCCCAAUGUCCCCAACAUCCUCAAUGUCCCCAAUGUUCUCAGUGUCCCCAAUGUUCUCAAGGAUCCCAGAUGUCUCCAACAUCUCCAAUGUCCCCAACAUCCCCAAUGUCCCCAAUGUUCCUCAAUGUCCUCAGUGUCCUCAGUGUCCCCAAUGUUCCCAAUGUUCUCAAUGUUCUCAGUGUCCUCAGUGUCCCCAAUGUCCC
This 1230-nucleotide long non-coding RNA is filed under the name Zonotrichia albicollis (white-throated sparrow). RNAcentral describes it as "lncRNA (ENSZALG00000001040.1)". The record is from RNAcentral. Lineage: Eukaryota; Metazoa; Chordata; Aves; Passeriformes; Passerellidae.